This 229-nucleotide ribosomal RNA is filed under the name uncultured bacterium. RNAcentral's name for it is "partial 16S ribosomal RNA". It matches the Rfam family "Bacterial small subunit ribosomal RNA", at positions 99 to 334 of the family's 1533-position model. The record is from RNAcentral.
CGGACGGGUGAGUAAUGUCUGGGAAACUGCCUGAUGGAGGGGGAUAACUACUGGAAACGGUAGCUAAUACCGCAUAACGUCGCAAGACCAAGAGGGGACCUUGGGCCUCUUGCCAUCGGAUGUGCCCAGAUGGGAUUAGCUAGUAGGUGGGGUAACGGCUCACCUAGGCGACGAUCCCUAGCUGGUCUGAGAGGAUGACCAGCCACACUGGAACUGAGACACGGUCCAG